GCCAUCGUGGUGUAACGGUAGCACACUCGGCGCGUAUUCGAGAGGUCCAGGUUCGAGCCCCGACGACGGCA
RNAcentral lists this transfer RNA (71 nucleotides) under Stegodyphus mimosarum. It matches the Rfam family "tRNA". From Rfam's summary of the family: Transfer RNA (tRNA) molecules are approximately 80 nucleotides in length. Their secondary structure includes four short double-helical elements and three loops (D, anti-codon, and T loops). Lineage: Eukaryota; Metazoa; Arthropoda; Arachnida; Araneae; Eresidae. The record is from Rfam by way of RNAcentral.